CGUGGCUCAGGAUGAACGCUGGCGGCGUGCCUAAUACAUGCAAGUCGAACGCUUUGUGGUUCAACUGAUUUGAAGAGCUUGCUCAGAUAUGACGAUGGACAUUGCAAAGAGUGGCGAACGGGUGAGUAACACGUGGGAAACCUACCUCUUAGCAGGGGAUAACAUUUGGAAACAGAUGCUAAUACCGUAUAACAAUGACAACCGCAUGGUUGUUAUUUAAAAGAUGGUUCUGCUAUCACUAAGAGAUGGUCCCGCGGUGCAUUAGCUAGUUGGUAAGGUAAUGGCUUACCAAGGCGAUGAUGCAUAGCCGAGUUGAGAGACUGAUCGGCCACAAUGGGACUGAGACACGGCCCAUACUCCUACGGGAGGCAGCAGUAGGGAAUCUUCCACAAUGGGCGAAAGCCUGAUGGAGCAACGCCGCGUGUGUGAUGAAGGGUUUCGGCUCGUAAAACACUGUUGUAAGAGAAGAAUGACAUUGAGAGUAACUGUUCAAUGUGUGACGGUAUCUUACCAGAAAGGAACGGCUAAAUACGUGCCAGCAGCCGCGGUAAUACGUAUGUUCCAAGCGUUAUCCGGAUUUAUUGGGCGUAAAGCGAGCGCAGACGGUUAUUUAAGUCUGAAGUGAAAGCCCUCAGCUCAACUGAGGAAUUGCUUUGGAAACUGGAUGACUUGAGUGCAGUAGAGGAAAGUGGAACUCCAUU
This 701-nucleotide ribosomal RNA is filed under the name Weissella sp. RNAcentral's name for it is "bacterial SSU rRNA". It matches the Rfam family "Bacterial small subunit ribosomal RNA", at positions 18 to 673 of the family's 1533-position model. Lineage: Bacteria; Bacillati; Bacillota; Bacilli; Lactobacillales; Lactobacillaceae. The record is from RNAcentral.